Folsomia candida is the source of this 702-nucleotide long non-coding RNA. RefSeq lists it as uncharacterized. NCBI's taxonomy places the organism in Eukaryota, Metazoa, Arthropoda, Collembola, Entomobryomorpha, Isotomidae. The transcript is spliced from 3 exons. The record is from RefSeq and is a predicted model, not a curated record.
AUUCCAAACAUAAAGCAAACACAAUUCAUUUAUUAAUCAUUAUUAUUCAGUUUUACUCUCAAAAAAAUAAAUUUCAUUUCAAAUGCCAUCCGCUCGUAGGUCCUCGACUCUAAAUUUAUUCCGAUUUGAUAAUACCGAAUAAAAAAUAACACAUCCGUUCGCCACCUACUAUCACCUACACCUUCGUCCAUUACUAUGUGUUAAGCUGUUAUUAUGACAGUUAGUGUGUGGGACAGUGGCCGAGAAAGCCGUGGGGACAUUGCCAUUGAAGGAUAGGGAGGGAGGGGUUUGUAUAACGUGGGGAGAUGAUAGGGACAUCGAACAACCGUGCGGACUUUGUCCCUUUGUCCCCACCCAAGCUUCUGCAGCCACUGGUUAUCCAAUGUUCCCAUCCGGGCGAAAGGGUCGAUUUGGAAGAUACCCUUGGUCGCAGUUGGUGGACUGAAGUGGAGGGAUUACCCCAGAGACUAUGUGGCCGAGAGGAUGCUCAUAUGCUGCAUUAUUGCAGCUAUUCAGACUCCAUCCGCAAGAUUUUCCACGAGAGAAGCGUGUCCUGUACAAGGAUUAUUUGACCUACUGGUUCCCAAUUCGUUGAAAGUGGACUACUUUCUCCUCCUAUUUUUAUAUUGGUUAUCUAUGAGCUACAAAAUCUAAAAACAUACCAAAAUUCAUUUACAUUUGUAAGUCUCUUCUACGAGCGAA